Molecule: ribosomal RNA, 510 nt
Filed under: uncultured bacterium
Lineage: Bacteria
Description: partial 16S ribosomal RNA
Rfam family: Bacterial small subunit ribosomal RNA
Source: RNAcentral
GACGAACGCUGGCGGCGUGCUUAACACAUGCAAGUCGAACGAAGAGCGAUGGAAGCUUGCUUCUCUCAAUCUUAGUGGCGAACGGGUGAGUAACGCGUAAUCAACCUGCCCUUCAGAGGGGGACAACAGUUGGAAACGACUGCUAAUACCGCAUACGAUCUAACCUCGGCAUCGAGGAUAGAUGAAAGGUGGCCUCUACAUGUAAGCUAUCACUGAAGGAGGGGAUUGCGUCUGAUUAGCUAGUUGGAGGGGUAACGGCCCACCAAGGCGAUGAUCAGUAGCCGGUCUGAGAGGAUGAACGGCCACAUUGGGACUGAGACACGGCCCAGACGCCUACGGGAGGCAGCAGUGGGGAAUCUUCCGCAAGGGACGAAAGUCUGACGGAGCAACGCCGCGUGAGUGAUGACGGCCUUCGGGUUGUAAAGCUCUGUUAAUCGGGACGAAAGGCCUUCUUGCGAAUAGUGAGAAGGAUUGACGGUACCGGAAUAGAAAGCCACGGCUAACUACGUG